UUGAGAAUGUAAUUCUAGAGUAGUUUCCACAAUGCAAUGAUUAUCUAAUUUAAUGAACUGUGUCAUUUUAAGAUAUUUCCUUGUGUAAUGUCUAUCAAAGAUAUUGCUUGUUCUUUUGAUUUUGAAUCAAAAAUUGUUUUUGUUUUGAGGGGUGUUUUCACAUCUUCUUAAGCUGAAAUUGGAUGAGAAGAUAAUGGUCUUUGUGAUGAACUUUAUGACUAUUAGAGUACUCUUAAGAUUGUAUCAAGGAAAUCUAUAAUGAGUUAGAAAGGGGAUAUGCUUUUUGGGAGGCGAACAUUAAAAACAAUGUCGUGAGCCGCUAUCUCAUAUUUGAAGGUAUGUCUUUAUAUGAUCAAUUUGAAGUAUCUAAGUUUACAAUAUCCUAUUUUUUGAAAAGAUGCCCAUAAAAUUGAAAGAUAUCAUUGUCAUCCUCAUAAAUCAGAAUAUCUCCUCCUUCGCUCCUUCACCAACUCCUGCAUCGCAAAUCCAAAGACAAUAUCUUUUGUCCUUUGCUAUUCUCAAAUGACAUCCUCAACCACCGCCAUCUAUUGUCGUGUGCCCUUCUUAGUGAUGUCACCAUUGUUGUCCCAAACGCAACAAUUAUUAUCAUUCGAGAACCAUUAACCUUGGUACAUAUGAACACACCUUCCCUUGAUAUCCCUUUCAUUAUUUAUGUCUCUAGGGUUUGCCCAUUUUUGGAAAUCUAUGUAUAAGUGGUGGAAUCAAGUUUAUGAGGGUGGAUUCAAUGUGGGUGUCAAAGAGAUGAGUUCUAGCAUCGUAGUUUUGAUUUAGAACAAAACUAAGGGCUAUACUUAGAAGUGAAAUCUAAUAAUUGAAACAAGUUUUUUUCUCCCACUUGCGGAUACUGUUGACACAUAUAAAUGGGGCACCUUAUGGUUUCUAUUGCAAUUUCUAUAACAUAAUAAUUGUAUAAUUGAUCUCUUCAAUGACCUAUCGUUGUUAUUAUAAGAUACUUGCACAAAGUUCUUUGUGUUAAUGGUAGAUUUUUAGUUAACAAAUGUUGUAUAGAAUGCAAAUCUAAAUUGUACGAGGAUUAAACUAAGGU
This is a non-coding RNA of Lupinus albus (white lupine), 1066 nucleotides long. The record is from the annotation of a GenBank genome assembly. NCBI's taxonomy places the organism in Eukaryota, Viridiplantae, Streptophyta, Magnoliopsida, Fabales, Fabaceae.